Molecule: long non-coding RNA, 153 nt
Organism: Labeo rohita (rohu)
Lineage: Eukaryota; Metazoa; Chordata; Actinopteri; Cypriniformes; Cyprinidae
Exons: 3
Source: RefSeq, a predicted model, not a curated record
GUCGUGUGGAAAGACUGGAGAUCUACAGCAGAUAAGCAUGGCAAUUCAGAUCUUGGACUCCAAAAGUGAUUUGCAGAAGACAUCUUGGAAUGCAUGGGGCUGGAUUUUCUGAUGGUUGCUGCUCGCAUCUCUGCCUCCUGAACAGAAAUACCU